This 74-nucleotide transfer RNA is filed under the name Collinsella tanakaei YIT 12063. It matches the Rfam family "tRNA". Rfam says of the family: Transfer RNA (tRNA) molecules are approximately 80 nucleotides in length. Their secondary structure includes four short double-helical elements and three loops (D, anti-codon, and T loops). The record is from Rfam by way of RNAcentral. RNAcentral also lists the same sequence under 2 other names. Lineage: Bacteria; Bacillati; Actinomycetota; Coriobacteriia; Coriobacteriales; Coriobacteriaceae.
GCCCCGUUAGCUCAGUGGAUUAGAGCGUCUGCCUCCGGAGCAGAAGGCCGUAGGUUCGAACCCUAUACGGGGCA